UGCUAAAUUUUGUAUAUUGUUAUCAAGAAAUGAGAAGAUUGAUAGUGUUAUUAGUGUUCUUGUUUUGCUAAAUUUUGUAUAUUGUUAUCAAGAAAUGAGAAGAUUGAUAAUGUUAUUAGUGUUCUUGUUUUGCUAAAUUUUGUAUAUUGUUAUCAAGAAAUGAGAAGAUUGAUAGUGUUAUUAGUGUUCUUGUUUUGCUAAAUUUUGUAUAUUGUUAUCAAGAAAUGAGAAGAUUGAUAGUGUUAUUAGUGUUCUUGUUUUGCUAAAUUUUGUAUAUUGUUAUCAAGAAAUGAGAAGAUUGAUAGUGUUAUUAGUGUUCUUGUUUUGCUAAAUUUUGUAUAUUGUUAUCAAGAAAUGAGAAGAUUGAUAGUGUUAUUAGUGUUCUUGUUUUGCUAAAUUUUGUAUAUUGUUAUCAAGAAAUGAGAAGAUUGAUAGUGUUAUUAGUGUUCUUGUUUUGCUAAAUUUUGUAUAUUGUUAUCAAGAAAUGAGAAGAUUGAUAGUGUUAUUAGUGUUCUUGUUUUGCUAAAUUUUGUAUAUUGUUAUCAAGAAAUGAGAAGAUUGAUAGUGUUAUUAGUGUUCUUGUUUUGCUAAAUUUUGUAUAUUGUUAUCAAGAAAUGAGAAGAUUGAUAGUGUUAUUAGUGUUCUUGUUUUGCUAAAUUUUGUAUAUUGUUAUCAAGAAAUGAGAAGAUUGAUAGUGUUAUUAGUGUUCUUGUUUUGCUAAAUUUUGUAUAUUGUUAUCAAGAAAUGAGAAGAUUGAUAGUGUUAUUAGUGUUCUUGUUUUGCUAAAUUUUGUAUAUUGUUAUCAAGAAAUGAGAAGAUUGAUAGUGUUAUUAGUGUUCUUGUUUUGCUAAAUUUUGUAUAUUGUUAUCAAGAAAUGAGAAGAUUGAUAGUGUUAUUAGUGUUCUUGUUUUGCUAAAUUUUGUAUAUUGUUAUCAAGAAAUGAGAAGAUUGAUAGUGUUAUUAGUGUUCUUGUUUUGCUAAAUUUUGUAUAUUGUUAUCAAGAAAUGAGAAGAUUGAUAGUGUUAUUAGUGUUCUUGUUUUGCUAAAUUUUGUAUAUUGUUAUCAAGAAAUGAGAAGAUUGAUAGUGUUAUUAGUGUUCUUGUUUUGCUAAAUUUUGUAUAUUGUUAUCAAGAAAUGAGAAGAUUGAUAGUGUUAUUAGUGUUCUUGUUUUGCUAAAUUUUGUAUAUUGUUAUCAAGAAAUGAGAAGAUUGAUAGUGUUAUUAGUGUUCUUGUUUUGCUAAAUUUUGUAUAUUGUUAUCAAGAAAUGAGAAGAUUGAUAGUGUUAUUAGUGUUCUUGUUUUGCUAAAUUUUGUAUAUUGUUAUCAAGAAAUGAGAAGAUUGAUAGUGUUAUUAGUGUUCUUGUUUUGCUAAAUUUUGUAUAUUGUUAUCAAGAAAUGAGAAGAUUGAUAGUGUUAUUAGUGUUCUUGUUUUGCUAAAUUUUGUAUAUUGUUAUCAAGAAAUGAGAAGAUUGAUAGUGUUAUUAGUGUUCUUGUUUUGCUAAAUUUUGUAUAUUGUUAUCAAGAAAUGAGAAGAUUGAUAGUGUUAUUAGUGUUCUUGUUUUGCUAAAUUUUGUAUAUUGUUAUCAAGAAAUGAGAAGAUUGAUAGUGUUAUUAGUGUUCUUGUUUUGCUAAAUUUUGUAUAUUGUUAUCAAGAAAUGAGAAGAUUGAUAGUGUUAUUAGUGUUCUUGUUUUGCUAAAUUUUGUAUAUUGUUAUCAAGAAAUGAGAAGAUUGAUAGUGUUAUUAGUGUUCUUGUUUUGCUAAAUUUUGUAUAUUGUUAUCAAGAAAUGAGAAGAUUGAUAGUGUUAUUAGUGUUCUUGUUUUGCUAAAUUUUGUAUAUUGUUAUCAAGAAAUGAGAAGAUUGAUAGUGUUAUUAGUGUUCUUGUUUUGCUAAAUUUUGUAUAUUGUUAUCAAGAAAUGAGAAGAUUGAUAGUGUUAUUAGUGUUCUUGUUUUGCUAAAUUUUGUAUAUUGUUAUCAAGAAAUGAGAAGAUUGAUAGUGUUAUUAGUGUUCUUGUUUUGCUAAAUUUUGUAUAUUGUUAUCAAGAAAUGAGAAGAUUGAUAGUGUUAUUAGUGUUCUUGUUUUGCUAAAUUUUGUAUAUUGUUAUCAAGAAAUGAGAAGAUUGAUAGUGUUAUUAGUGUUCUUGUUUUGCUAAAUUUUGUAUAUUGUUAUCAAGAAAUGAGAAGAUUGAUAGUGUUAUUAGUGUUCUUGUUUUGCUAAAUUUUGUAUAUUGUUAUCAAGAAAUGAGAAGAUUGAUAGUGUUAUUAGUGUUCUUGUUUUGCUAAAUUUUGUAUAUUGUUAUCAAGAAAUGAGAAGAUUGAUAGUGUUAUUAGUGUUCUUGUUUUGCUAAAUUUUGUAUAUUGUUAUCAAGAAAUGAGAAGAUUGAUAGUGUUAUUAGUGUUCUUGUUUUGCUAAAUUUUGUAUAUUGUUAUCAAGAAAUGAGAAGAUUGAUAGUGUUAUUAGUGUUCUUGUUUUGCUAAAUUUUGUAUAUUGUUAUCAAGAAAUGAGAAGAUUGAUAGUGUUAUUAGUGUUCUUGUUUUGCUAAAUUUUGUAUAUUGUUAUCAAGAAAUGAGAAGAUUGAUAGUGUUAUUAGUGUUCUUGUUUUGCUAAAUUUUGUAUAUUGUUAUCAAGAAAUGAGAAGAUUGAUAGUGUUAUUAGUGUUCUUGUUUUGCUAAAUUUUGUAUAUUGUUAUCAAGAAAUGAGAAGAUUGAUAGUGUUAUUAGUGUUCUUGUUUUGCUAAAUUUUGUAUAUUGUUAUCAAGAAAUGAGAAGAUUGAUAGUGUUAUUAGUGUUCUUGUUUUGCUAAAUUUUGUAUAUUGUUAUCAAGAAAUGAGAAGAUUGAUAGUGUUAUUAGUGUUCUUGUUUUGCUAAAUUUUGUAUAUUGUUAUCAAGAAAUGAGAAGAUUGAUAGUGUUAUUAGUGUUCUUGUUUUGCUAAAUUUUGUAUAUUGUUAUCAAGAAAUGAGAAGAUUGAUAGUGUUAUUAGUGUUCUUGUUUUGCUAAAUUUUGUAUAUUGUUAUCAAGAAAUGAGAAGAUUGAUAGUGUUAUUAGUGUUCUUGUUUUGCUAAAUUUUGAAUAUUGUUAUCAAGAAAUGAGAAGAUUGAUAGUGUUAUUAGUCUUCUUGUUUUGCUAAAUUUUGUAUAUUGUUAUCAAGAAAGGAGAAGAUUGAUAGUGUAAUUAGUGUUCUUGUUUUGCUAAAUUUGGUAUAUUGUUAUCAAGAAAUGAGAAGACUGAUAGUGUUAUUAGUGUUCUUGUUAUGCUAAAUUUGGUAUAUUGUUAUCAAGAAAUGAGAAGAUUGAUAGUGUUAUUAGUGUUCUUGUUUUGAUAAAUUUUGUAUAUUGUUAUCAAGAAACGAGAAGAUUGAUAGUGUUAUUAGUAUUCUUGUUUUGCUAAAUUUUGUAAAUUGUUAUCAAGAAAUGAGAAGAUUGAUAAUGUUAUUAGUGUUCUUGUUUUGCAAAAUUUUGUAUAUUGUUAUCAAGAAAUGAGAAGAUUGAUAGUGUUAUUAGUCUUCUUGUUUUGCUAAAUUUUGUAUAUUGUUAUCAAGAAAUGAGAAGGUUGAUAGUGUUAUUAGUGUUCUUGUUUUGCUAAAUUUUGUAUAUUGUUAUCAAGAAAUGAGAAGAUUGAUAGUGUUAUUAGUGUUCUUGUUAUCAAGAAACGUUUGACGCUGACCCUUUCGCAAAAUCUCUCAAAAAUGAAAGGCAAUGCCAUGGGGAAUUCUCCAUGGCUUCUGUUCAGUCAAAGAAGGAUAUGGAAGAUCACAACCAAGUCGAUGUAAGCCAUUACACACUGUUCGUUUGAAUUUAUGAUGGUUUCAAAAGCCACACCACUGCUUCCUAUAUUCGUACGCACAUCUUUAGGACUCUAUUAUGUGAGUUAUUUCUUUGCUUCUAUUUUCUUAGCAUACUAAUCUGUAUAUUGUUAUCAAGAAAUGAGAAGAUUGAUAGUGUUAUUAGUGUUCUUGUUUUGCUAUAUUUGGUAUAUUGUUAUCAAUAAAUGAGAAGAUUGAUAGUGUUAUUAGUGUUCUUGUUUUGCUAAAUUGUGAAUAUUGUUGUCAAGAAAUGAGAAGAUUGAUAGUGUUAUUAGUGUUUUUGUUUUGCUAAAUUUUGUAUAUUGUUAUCAAGAAAUGAGAAUAUUGAUAGUGUUAUUAGUGUUCUUGUUAUCAAGAAACGUUUGACGCUGACCCUUUAGCAAAAUCUCUCAAAAAUAAAAGGCAUUGCCAUGGGGAAUUCUCCAUGGCUUUUGUUCAGUCAAAUAAGGAUAUGGAAGAUCACAACCAAGUCGAUGUAAGUCAUGACGCACUGUUCAUUUUAAUUUAUGAUGGCUUCAAAGGCCACACCACUGCUUCCUAUAUUCGUACGCACAUCUUUAGGANACCAAGUCGAUGUAAGCCAUGACGCACUGUUCGUUCGAUUUUAUGAUGGCUUCAAAGGCCACACCACUGCUUCCUAUAUUCGUACGCACAUCUUUAGGAUUUAUUACGUGAGUUAUUUCUUUGCUUCUUUUUUCUUAGCAUACUAAUCUGUAUAUUGUUAUCAAGAAAUGAGAAGAUUGCUAGUGUAAUUAGUGUUCUUGUUUUGCUAAAUUUUGUAUAUUGUUAUCAAGAAAUGAGAAGAUUGAUAGUCUUAUUAGUGUUCUUGUGUUGAUAAAUUUUGUAUAUUGUUAUCAAGAAAUGAGAAGGUUGAAAGUGUUAUUCGUGUUCUUGUUUUGAUAAAUUUUGUAUAUUGUUGUCAAGAAAUGAGAUGAUUGAUAGUGUUAUUAGUGUUCUUGUUUUGCUAAAUUUUGUAUAUUGUUAUCAAGAAAUAAGAAGAUUGAUAUUGUUUUUAUUAUUCUUGUUUUGCUAAAUUAUGUAUAUUGUUAUCAAGAAAUGAGAAGACUGAUAGUGUUAUUAGUGUUCUUGUUUUGCUAAAUUUGGUAUAUUGUUAUCAAGAAAUGAGAAGAUUGAUAGUG
RNAcentral lists this long non-coding RNA (4940 nucleotides) under Lathyrus oleraceus (garden pea). RNAcentral's name for it is "Pisum sativum (pea) long non-coding RNA (PSAT_LNC041391)". The record is from RNAcentral. Lineage: Eukaryota; Viridiplantae; Streptophyta; Magnoliopsida; Fabales; Fabaceae.